This 1019-nucleotide ribosomal RNA is filed under the name Staphylococcus aureus. RNAcentral's name for it is "partial 23S ribosomal RNA". It matches the Rfam family "Bacterial large subunit ribosomal RNA", at positions 344 to 1371 of the family's 2925-position model. The record is from RNAcentral. Lineage: Bacteria; Bacillati; Bacillota; Bacilli; Caryophanales; Staphylococcaceae.
GGAAAGAUGAAUCAAAGAAGGUAAUAAUCCUGUAGUCGAAAAUGUUGUCUCUCUUGAGUGGAUCCUGAGUACGACGGAGCACGUGAAAUUCCGUCGGAAUCUGGGAGGACCAUCUCCUAAGGCUAAAUACUCUCUAGUGACCGAUAGUGAACCAGUACCGUGAGGGAAAGGUGAAAAGCACCCCGGAAGGGGAGUGAAAUAGAACCUGAAACCGUGUGCUUACAAGUAGUCAGAGCCCGUUAAUGGGUGAUGGCGUGCCUUUUGUAGAAUGAACCGGCGAGUUACGAUUUGAUGCAAGGUUAAGCAGUAAAUGUGGAGCCGUAGCGAAAGCGAGUCUGAAUAGGGCGUUUAGUAUUUGGUCGUAGACCCGAAACCAGGUGAUCUACCCUUGGUCAGGUUGAAGUUCAGGUAACACUGAAUGGAGGACCGAACCGACUUACGUUGAAAAGUGAGCGGAUGAACUGAGGGUAGCGGAGAAAUUCCAAUCGAACCUGGAGAUAGCUGGUUCUCUCCGAAAUAGCUUUAGGGCUAGCCUCAAGUGAUGAUUAUUGGAGGUAGAGCACUGUUUGGACGAGGGGCCCCUCUCGGGUUACCGAAUUCAGACAAACUCCGAAUGCCAAUUAAUUUAACUUGGGAGUCAGAACAUGGGUGAUAAGGUCCGUGUUCGAAAGGGAAACAGCCCAGACCACCAGCUAAGGUCCCAAAAUAUAUGUUAAGUGGAAAAGGAUGUGGCGUUGCCCAGACAACUAGGAUGUUGGCUUAGAAGCAGCCAUCAUUUAAAGAGUGCGUAAUAGCUCACUAGUCGAGUGACACUGCGCCGAAAAUGUACCGGGGCUAAACAUAUUACCGAAGCUGUGGAUUGUCCUUUGGACAAUGGUAGGAGAGCGUUCUAAGGGCGUUGAAGCAUGAUCGUAAGGACAUGUGGAGCGCUUAGAAGUGAGAAUGCCGGUGUGAGUAGCGAAAGACGGGUGAGAAUCCCGUCCACCGAUUGACUAAGGUUUCCAGAGGAAGGCUCGUCC